GGGUUGAAAUUUUGCAGGGUUGUUGAAAUCAAAUUUAGGGACUUUACUGACGGGACUCUGGGCUGGCUGCUCUGUUCACUCGUCAGCGCAAGUGGCGUGACCAUGUAAUUGGGGCACGGGGCCGGCGCGGCGCGCUGCGGGCUUGCAGAAUUUUGUUUGUUUGUUUGGCCGCGCGCUGGCGCAGCCACGGGCCGCAGUUACUGGGGCGCGCUGUCGUAACAAGCCGCGCGGUGUGGCCUGCACAUUGGGGUAGAGGGGGGGUAGUCUUCCCAGAUGUUCUAGUUAGUUGUUUAGUAAAUUUGACUUCAAUAACGAGCUUUUGUUAUGGUAGGCGCGGCAGGGCGCGCGAAUUUAAGCGCAAGUGAGUGGUGACUCGGGGCUCACUCAGGCGGAGGCUAUGCGUCUCACCUGUGGUCACGAGUUGUUAGUUCGUUCGUGAUGUAGGAAUUCAAGCUUUCGGGCGGAAGCUAUGGUCGACGCCAGAGGCCACGAGUCGUUUAAUUUAAGUUAGGUCAUAAUGUAGUCGUCAAGCUUUCGGGCGGAGGCUAUGGCCCUCGUCAGGGGUCACGCGUCAUAGUUUUUAAAAUGUAAUGUUCGUUCGGGAUUUCAAGGGCAGGAGAGGCCCCUACGUUAUUUUUUUAAAGUAAUCGAUCAAGAAAGGCUUUUCGGAAAAUGUGAGUAUGGACUUAUCUUUGUUUUAAUUUUAAGUAUUAAUUAUGAUUUGAGGUAUUCGGAAGGACUAGGGAAGUGUUUAGUGAAGUUCUCUCAUUCUCUCUCUUGUAAGGUCGUUCAAUCGUUAAGGAAGUAAAGAGAUUAUUGUUUUAAAUUGUAAUCCCGCUAUUUAAAUGUUCUUUAAAAUGAUGUUGAGUAUUUGACUUUAAGAAUAAAAUAAUUUUAAUUAAGUAUUAUGUUAUUUUGCAAAAUCUCCUUAGUUCAGCUCUCACCAGACAUCCUGUACGGGAUGACGAACCUAUGAUCCUAGGUACAGUAAAGUAUUUUAUGAAGUUAAGACUAGUUGAUGCCAAGCGAGUUGUUUCUAUGUAAAGAGCUACGAUUCUCUCCCCUCUCCGAAAGUGGAUCGUGACAGAAAUGGUGGAGGCGCCGGGUAGGUUCUAUUUCUGGAGAGAGAGAGGUAGAUUUUUAUGUUUAUUAUUAAGUUAGUUUCAGCUUCUGAUAGCAGGUUAUUAAGAGUUUACUUGAGGAGAGGAUUACGGAAUUUAAUCUAAGUGGAGGAAGUCUUUGAGAUUUUUUUUUGACGUAACAGAUGAUUAUUUGAGUAUACUUGUAAGGAUAAAGUUUAUAGUGAUAAGUUGUUUUAAGUCGUUGAGUUUAUCAGGGAUUUUUACGUGAGGAGAAUACGUUAUAAUUUAAAUGAUUAAUAGAGAUAAUGCAAGUGGUUUAAUUUAAUUGAAAUUAAUUUUAAGAUUGUAGGUUAAGAGAAUUAUAAUUUAAAAUAAAGUUUUUUGUCGUAAAUAGGAAUUAUUUUCAAGAGAAGUUUGUUUUGUUUUCGUGCGCGUAGGAGACGAGACGUACGAAUUAAAUCAGUCGAGGGAAGGAUAAACGUUAGAAAGGAAUUAAAGAGAAAACGAGAGUUUAUGUAAAAGAGAGUUAUAGAAUUUAUAGUGAUGUUUUGUUUUAAUUAGAAAAAUGUUGAGAGUUGUUUCAGAACGACACGUCAGUGGACGUGGCAGAAUGAACACGUGACGGGGAGGUGCUGAGACCUAGCGGAGAACGGAGGAACCGCAAGCGAGGGUUGGCGCACCUGAUGGAAUUCGGUGACGUCACGAGCACGUACAGAGACGUGGACGGCCGUGACCUUGUUUUGAUCAGCUGUACGGUAACUUAGCGAUAAGAAAAUUGACUAUUGGUUAAAUAAAUUUAAAUUUAAGUGUGUUUUAGAAGAAGAGGAACUUUCAGUAUAUUCCUUAAGAUGAGCUGAGCAGCAGUCCAGUUUACAAGAUGACAAGAGUUCGAGAGACAAGAUACAAGAUCACUGAAACAAGAGCCAAGACUGAAGAUUCAAGAGAAGAGAAAGCUGGCAGCCAUGGACUUACAAGUGGAGAUUAAUAAGGUCAUGUAAAGUUUUAUUUUUUUUUAUGGAAGACAGUAACUGGAGUUUUUUUUUGUUAUAAACAUUAUUUACAGAACUUUUUAUGUUAUAGUAAUGUAAUGGAACUAGUGAGUUGUGGUAGCUGUCAAAAAGAACUAAUACCUUAAGUUUAAUUUUUAAAGUUAAUUUUCUUAAUUUACAGAGGGAUUAGUAGUUUUUUUUAAACCUUAUUUAGGUUGGAAUUUAAAUACAAUAGCUUAUUAUAAAUGUGUACGAACAGUUCAAGUUCACAGUACUGAUAGGUAGGUCAGAUGAUCUUAUUGAUUUUGAUGAUUUGUUGUUUUGAGUUGAUUUUUAAGUGUUGUGAAUUAGACAAUGAAAUAGUUCUGAAAACUUAAAUUAUUUCAAGCUAAGAAAUAGUAAAGUUAAUUGUAACUCAAAGGACACCAGAAUUUAAUUUUUUUUUGAAUUAGUAAUGUUUGAAAAUUUUAUACUUUACAAGAAAGGUUAUAAACAAACAGAUCGGAUGGAACAAGGAUGCAGUAAAUCACAAUUUCAUUUAGAAUUAUUGAUUAGCUUUUGAGGUUAUGAAGUAAAAGUAAUUAUAGUUUAAAAGUUUGAAUAAAAAAAAAUGUUUUUUUUUUAUUUGUUUGAAAUAGAAAGUUUAAAAGUUAAUUAGUCAUGAUCUAGGUGGGUGAUGGGGUGGGAAUUGGCCACUCUUUUUCCCUAUAACCUCCCUAACAUGGCCUUCUAUUACAACUAACAGAAAUAAAGAAGAAGAAAAAUGAAGAAUUAUUAGUUAGAAUGUUUCUUUCAUGAAGAUACCUGAUGAACUUUUACUGUUUGGAAGAAUAGAAGCAAGGUUAGUCAGAUAUUUUUACUCAGAAGAAGAAGAAGAUAAAGCAGUUUUAUGACUCGACAAGCCAGAGAUUGGUGUUUCCCCUCUGCGCUUCUAUUGACUACGUUGUUUACUCUCAUGGGAUAGCUGGUUCGGCACCAUGGAGAGAGAUUGGUGGGCAUUGUGGUUGCCCCCAGAAGAAAAGAAGAGUAGAAGAGGUUAUGGGUGGGUCAUGUGAACUGACCUUCAACCCAGUUACUUCGUGGGGACUAUUUGCUGUAUAGAGAAGAUCAAGACUCAAGAGUUAGGGAAAAUCAUUGGAGGUCAUGUUUCCCUUCCUUAAGUUUUUCCUAUCAAAUUAUUUGCCUGAUUAGAUUAUGCUAAGGGUGGGAUACUUUAUGUUAGCAGUUGAAUUAAUUAAUUUUAUUUUUUUGUGUGUUUGCAUCCUUGCCCAUCGAUUGCAGUUUAGUAGUUAGUUUUGUAUUUGUCAGGCGUGAUGGUAAUGCCUGUUGAUGAUGUUUCAGAAUUGUAAUCUGUUCGUGAUGAGGAUGGCACAACUCCGAAGCAGAUGUGGGGAGAAGUUGUGAGCUGCCCUGGAAGCCAGUCCAGUAGCUGUUGGAGUUGAGUGGUGUUUGCUGAUGGCCAGCCCAGGGAGCUACUCUUCUCGACAACACUGACUUCGAGGAGUUGCACCAACCUUCACGAGAUAAGAGUUUAAUUAAUUGAAACACUGUAAGGACACUUAAUUUUUUUUGAAGAACGAAAG
Long non-coding RNA from Bacillus rossius redtenbacheri, 3654 nucleotides. RefSeq lists it as uncharacterized. Lineage: Eukaryota; Metazoa; Arthropoda; Insecta; Phasmatodea; Bacillidae. The transcript is spliced from 3 exons. The record is from RefSeq and is a predicted model, not a curated record.